UACGGAGGAUCCAAGCGUUGUCCGGAAUUAUUGGGCGUAAAGAGCUCGUAGGCGGUUUGUCGCGUCUGCUGUGAAAACUCGGGGCUUAACUCCGGGCCUGCAGUGGGUACGGGCAGACUAGAGUGCGGUAGGGGAGACUGGAAUUCCUGGUGUAGCGGUGAAAUGCGCAGAUAUCAGGAGGAACACCGGUGGCGAAGGCGGGUCUCUGGGCCGAUACUGACGCUGAGGAGCGAAAGCGUGGGGAGCAAACAGG
RNAcentral lists this ribosomal RNA (253 nucleotides) under uncultured bacterium. RNAcentral describes it as "partial 16S ribosomal RNA". It matches the Rfam family "Bacterial small subunit ribosomal RNA", at positions 524 to 776 of the family's 1533-position model. The record is from RNAcentral.